Chrysemys picta bellii (western painted turtle) is the source of this 6946-nucleotide non-coding RNA. Lineage: Eukaryota; Metazoa; Chordata; Testudines; Emydidae. The record is from RefSeq and is a predicted model, not a curated record.
AAAGUAUGCAUCCGAAGAAGUGAGGUUUUUACUCACGAAAGCUUAUGCCCAAAUAAAUCUAUUAGUCUUUAAGGUGCCACCAGACUCCUUAAGGUCUUGGGUGUGACCCAGGGGUUGUCAAUAGGCCACAUCUGGACCUCCGGACACAUUGUGAUGGACCAAAAAAUCCUUCUAUUCACGUACUAUUAUUGUGGUGUGAAAAUGUUUCUCUGGAGUCUGGACCUUGAUUAUGCCUUAACCCAGAAAUUUGAACCUUCACAAAAAUAGACUGCCCCUGGAUAAAGCCCUCAGUGGCAUAUGACCAGCCUCCCUGAGGGCUCGCCCUUCUCUCUGCCUUACUGCCACAGCUGUAGUCACGGGGGCACUCCAGUGGAUCCCCCUAGUUAGGAAAGAGAGGGGUGGCUGGCAGGGUGCUCUCCCUGUUAGGGCUCGGAGACUCUGGGAUCUCCUCCCCCUCUUGGUCUGAAAUAGUCAGAAUCUGAUUAUUUUCCAGGCACGCUGCGAAAGACACCUGUUUGAUAAGGUUUUUGGAGAGGGCUGAGGGUAUGCUUCUUAGAUAGUGAAGGGGAAGAAAGGAGCUUCUGUAGGUGGCUGGCUAAGCUGCUGACGUGAUCAUUUUAAUGUUGCUGAGGUUUGAAGUGUAUUAGUGAGUGUUAAGGCACCAAGGGACUUGGAAAGGCAUCUUUAUAGUUAUUUGUAAAUUUAAAUAAAUAAAUAUCAACUAUUGUAUCUACACUAAUGGCUCGCAGGUCUACCUCUCCACUGUCUCUUGUCUUCUGUCCUAGCUAAAAUCUAGGCCUGUCUGACAUCUCAUGGACGUUCAGCCAUCAGCUGAAGCUCAACAUGGCCAAAAGAAAGAUCGUAAUCUUUCCCCUCAAGCCUCUAUCCUCCCUUUUUCACUCACCAUGGAUGACGCCACCCAUCCUCAUUGUCACAAAGGCCUGUAACUGGGUGUCAUCUUUGACUCGGUCCUCUGUCUAGAUCAGCGGUUCUCAACCCACAGGCUGCAUGUGAUCCAAUUAGCACACAGCUGCAGCCCAGCUCAGCUAUGUGCUAAAGGCCAUGGGCUGCAGGCUGCCCUGCCACGUGGUGGGCUCUGGGUUCCGGGCUGCCCUGCCACACGGCGGGCUCCGGCAUCCGGGCUCCCAGCUGCCCUGACAUGUACCGGGCUGUUGGCUGCCACUGGCCCUGCAGGGCAGAGCUCAGGGUCUGGGCAGCUGGCUGCCGCCUGGCCCACUCCACAGCAGGGCUUGGGAUCUGGUCAGCCAGCUGCUGCCUGGCUCCCCACACAGCAUAUGUGGCCCAUAAUGAUAAAUAGGUUGAGAACCACUGGUCUAGAUGCUCACAUCCCAGCUGUAUCUACUUCUUGCUGGUUCUUCCUGAAUAAUGUCUUUAAGAUUUACCAUAUAGAUAAACUUCACUUUAUCUCAUGUCUCAACUACAAGUUCCUCCUCUCUGGUCGUGAGAAACCACUUUUUGUUCCACUUACGUUCAUUCAGAGCACUGCUGUAAAAAUCAUUUACUUGCUUUGUCACUUUGACCAUUUCCUCCUCUGCAUCCUUCCACUCUCUUCCCCCAUCUCCACUGCAUCAAACACUAUUUGUCUUCCCUUUAAAAGGCCUUCAUGGCCUAGCUUCACUCUUAUGUCAUCUCAUAUACACUUUUGAGAUGUGACUGUUGCCUCUGUUCUGCCAAUGAUUCCAGCUUUCAUUGCCCAUUUGCUGAAAUUGUCAGUUUUCCAAGAACACCUUUGCACUUUCUUCUAUGCUGCCCCUUAUGCAUGGAAAGAGCUCUCCGUAAAAGUCCGCAAAACCACCACCUUGUCCUCUCAAAUCUCCUCUUGGUUAUGUUGCCUCCAAAGUGCUUGGCAAUGAUGAGGCAGUUGGUCUACUGUGACUGCUGCUUAUUACACCGAUCAUAAUAAUCUGUUUCCUUGUGCUCCCUCUGUAUCAGCGUAUUGGCUCUUGCCUCCAUUUAAGCUACCCCUUCCUUGAAUUCACUUCUUUCACACGGCUGAAGGUGGAGGCUGCCAGAUUGCAUUUUUUUUUUAAAUGCAGCCUCAGGUUUCCUGUUUUGCCUUAUUCUGAGCUCUUUCGCUCAACAGCCUGAUUCAAACUCCUUACCAUACACACUCCUCAUCUUGGCAUGGAUGUAAGCAGGGCAGAAACCUCUGUGGCAGAAAUGAGUGAAGAAAUAAUCUAUACUUCUGUACGGUUUUCACAGACACCGCCAGUCUGUUCCAUUGAUGUCAGGACAAAUAGAGGUAAGCAAGCCAAAUGAAACUGGUGAAUCCCAGAGCAAAGGCUCUGUCAUAUGGUAUCUACAGGAGCUAUUGCAGAAAUGUUCAGAGCUGGUCAUUGAUAUUUGGGUGUCCAGCUUGAGACAUUUGGGGUUUGAUUUUUUAAAAGUGCUGAGCACUCACAACUCUAUGGGAAAUCAGUGGGAGCUGAAAGAGCACAGCAUCUCUGAAAUUAAGGCCCCUAGUAGGAUUCUCAGGUUGGGUACCCGAAAUCUGUAGCUUUCUUGAGCUUGACUGCAUGACAGUAGACUGGAGAAUUUAAGCCUAUGUAGAUUAAUAAAGAUGAAGAUACAGAUAAAUUAUUGGCAUAUAUGAGUCAUACAUGAGAGAGGGAAAAGAUCUUUUAGAUCAUUCUGUCCGUCUUCCAAGGGCGAGUGCAAGAUUGUUUCAUGUGGCAUAUUAUAUUUUUUUCAGUGUUUUCUUCAGUCUAGUUUUAAAAGACCCCCGUGACAGAGCUUCCAUCUCUUCUCCUGAGAGACCAUUCCACAGCUCAGCACAUCUCACUAUCAGGAAGAUUUUCCUGGGAUUCAUCUUAUAUUUUUCCUUUCAUAGUUUCCUCUCCCCUCUUGCUGUUUAUACCCUUCAGAUAUUUGCAGGCUGUUAUGAAGUCCCCACCUUAGUUGUGGUUAAGUUAAGAUGGAUUUUUAGCUCUCUUAAUUUCUCCUUAAAAUUGUUUCCUUCCAGUCCCCUGAUCAUUUUUGUUGCUCUUCUCUGAACUCCCCCCAGUUUGCUGAUGUCUAAUAAUGAGGUGCCCACAUUGAACAUAAUAUUCCAGGUAGGGUCUCAUCAGAACUGUGUAGAGAGGGGCUAUCGCUUCACUGUCCCAAGAAGAGUUGCUUCUGUGUAUGCAGCUAAAACACACAUUCCUGGUGCCUGGGACUGUUGAUGCCACGUGCCUAGAUAUAAAUCUGUUUGAACAAAGCUGCAUAGGAAACUUCAAAUAUCCACCUGCCAGUGAAGUCUCACUCAGUUGGUAGGAAACCUCCUUGGUUUUGGAUAUGUUUUCUGGCUGUGUUUCAAGUCCAUUACGUGGGAGAUGUGGAUUGUAUUGUGUAUAUUUCAAUUAGAUGUUUGCAGUCUUUCUUUCGUUUCAAAAUCUCCCUUUUCACAUUGUCCCCUGCUGAGCUAAGGCUAGAGGAACAGAAAAGGGGAAGCUCCUCUUCACACCCACAUCCCUGUGCCUCCCCAAGAAACAGCGUCUGAUCACUGUCUAUCUCAUUCCUCCAAAUCUCCAAAUGAAGUAUCUCUGGGCUGAAGCAAGGCUCUUACUACCUCUUAUUGGGUCAUAUCUUGUCAUUUCCUGGGGAACAAUGCAGUUCACCACAGUCAACUCUCCAAGAGCUUUGUCCAGUCCCUAUUUAAAUGUCCUGUGUGUAAAAGGGUUCCCUCCUCUUCCUUUAGGGAGACUCUUCUCCAGUCUCACAGGUUCUUCACUGUUAGGGAAUAUUUUGUGAUUAUCCAGUGUGAGAUUUCCACUUCUUGUUCAGUUUCAUCUCAUCUUGGUUUUUCCCUUUCCCCACACAAAGCCUCUCUCCUCAUGUGAUACCAUAACAGCUGAGAUCAGCAGAGGCCCUUAGGCCUCCGGCACCUUGGUUCAACAGGGCAGAACUACAGGCACUGAAUUCUCACUGAAGGACCCUCAACUCUGGAGUUUGCUUUCCUUCUUAGUUGGAUGGAUCCUGCCAAGACUCAGAUUCAGCCAGUAUGUGCCGGUGCAGCAUACCAACACUGCUUGCAUGCUGCUAUCUUAUUCUCCAAAAUUUAAGUUUUCGUGUGUUUUAAAAAGUCUCUAGCUGUAACGGUUGGUUGGAGAGAUGCACUCAGCUCCUGUUUUCAAGGCUAAAGGAUGCAGUGAUCUCUAUCUGUGUUUGCAGAGUCUGAAACAGUAAUUCUGUGGUGUGUGAACUGCCCUAUUUAUCUCAGUGGGAGCCACACCGGAUACACAAGGAUAACAAUGUUGACAUUUCAAGUAUUAAUUAUUUCAUUGCUCACCUGUUGAAGUCCCAGGAAGGUGGGCAUGCACAAACCUCCCCACAACUGAAGGCAUGGGCAGUGCGUGAACCGCUGGCUGGGGGAGACUAGCCCCCAGCCCUGCCCCAUCUGCCCAGGGCCUCGCCCCUUCCACCAGAGCCCACCCACUGUGGCUGCCGGCCCCUGCGCCAGGCUAGUGCCCCCAGCCCUGGGGGGAGGGAGGGCGAUGCCAGUGCAGCCCCCCGGAACGCCGGGAGGGUGGAGCUGGGCUGCAGCAUGGGAAGCAGCAGGGGGGCUGGGGGUGGAGCAUGAGUGGGCCAUGCCUAUCUGGGGAGGCACAGCCUCCCCUAGCCUGUGAUACCUGCCACCCAUGGCUAAAGGCUAAGGAGAGGAGCCACUGAACCCAGGGCUCAAAUAAUUAUGGGUGACAACAAAAGAAAUCAGCUCACUGUGAGCAUGUAGAAAAGGAGAGGGAUGAUCCUAUUAUGAAGGUCUGUGCAAUCUACUGAGUGAUACCUCAUUUUUGGCACCAUGAGUGAUUGGCCUUGGGAGAGUACUGCCACUUUCCCCAGUCAAGAAGGGGCCAAACCUAAGGAGCCUAGUAGAGCCCAAAAGAGCAUCUGACCCCUCUUGAAGGAGAGCCACGCUCACGAAGCCCAGUGGUGUAUAUGUGCCUCACUCAGGGGAAACCAAACACACAGAGCCCAUGGGUGUCUUUGCACCCAGUGGUGGGGAACCAAGCCCAAAGAUCAGGCAUGAUCACAUUUUGAACAUCUAUACAAUUGACUGUGAGUGAUAUCUUGUGGCUGGAUCUUGGAAGGGUACCACUGCCUUUAUUUUGGUUUGUUUCCAUCUGCACCCUGGAUCCUGAGUCUGCUGACCUUGAUAGUCUGGCUCAAGGCCUUUUAACUUCCCCAGCCUUUGGGGAAGGGGCAAGAUUAGGAAAGUGUAUGUGGGUUCAAUGGAUAUUGAUAACUUAUUGGGACUAACUGAUUAAGGCAGAUGAAUUUAUAGGGAUACAUUUAUUUCUGGUUUGUGAUUCUUUCAUUGUACAUGUGCCAAGAGCCCAGUGAGAGGGCGAUUUAAAAGUCAAAAUAAUAACAUAGCCAGCACAGCUACAGUUGUAAGUAAGCAACUGUAGCCGUCACAAUUCUAUUUUAGUCUUUCCUCAUUCAUAUUGUGUUGAAAUUAGUUUUUCAUGGCAGCAGGAACUUUGGUUCUGUGGGAAAGAUGCAACGUCUAGACUGAGAGGUUGAGAGAGGAGGAUCUGGGACGCAUACUCUGUUUUUGAGAAGAGGGAGGAACUGAAAAGUUUGGACAGGUGACUUCUCAGAACUGUGAAACCAGACUUCAGUGUUAAGUCUCCCCAGCACUGGUCAUCUGGCCUGUACAGCUUGGCAGUAGGUGUUGGGACACUGAGCGCCCUCAUGGUGAUUGCAGUGGUAGUAUGCACGGUUUGGAGGAAUGCACCUGUCUUGCUUUCAGAGGGCUAAAUUCUGCUCUCACAGGAUUAAGUAACUGCAUCCACUGAAGUCUGUGGAAUUAUCCAAGUGUCAGAGGAAGAUCAGCCCUAUAGUGCACACAACUGAUCAAAUGCAGAGAUCGCUCCUGUCCUGGAUGCCCUGACCAGUGGUUUGGUUACAGGAGCAGCUGUUACUACUUCUCCAAGAUGGAAAAAGGAUUGGAAUUCCAGCCAGGCAUCCUGUUCUGCAGAAGGAUCACAUCUCCUGGUGAUCAGUGAUGCCAAGAAAAUGGACCUGUUCUUGAGAAUGCACAUAAAUUACCACUGGAUUGGUCUGAGGAACAGCACAGGCAGUGGCUGGACCUGGGAAGAUGGCUCAAAACUCAACAAUACAAAGGUCAUCUCUAACAGCCCCGUGCAGCACUGUGGCGUCCUGGUGAGCGGUGCCCUCCAGGCCUCCAGCUGUGCAGCUUAUUUACCAUGGAUCUGUGAGAAAUCCCCCAAGUAACCUCCUCCUGCACUUUCCCACAGAACAGUCUUCACUCACACUCAGCCAAUGGAUCUGGACCCCAACAGCGCAUCCAGACCUGCCUAAUCCUUGUUCCCAGUGGGGCAGGCUGAUGCUGCUCCUAGUAGGAGGUUUGUGUCACCAUUGCCCUCUGUUGAAAUUGCACAGCCAUGUAGGAGACUGAAAUCUGAUUCAUGGACUUUCAGCUCCCUGAGGCUGGAGCUCUGAGGGUGAGUUCUGUGCAGAAAACGUAGAUCCAUUUGCAGUCCUCAUCCUUUAGGGCUGGGAGCAUAGCAGAGACCUGCUGACAUUAUCUUUGUUGCCAUGGUAAAGACCUGAGUAUGAUUCCCAGUCUUAGUCUUUCUCACUCUGCCCCAGUGCCUAGGUUAUUAGUGUGACAGCGGCUGGGCCCAGUGACCCCUUAGGGUUACACUUCUGGGUUGCUGAGCAGAUGCUAGACUUUAUUUUUAGUCCAUGUUUCUCAUUUCUUUGGCACCAGGAAUGCUGCAGAAGCUGGGCCUUCUGCCCCUACUGAAUUGUUCUCUACUUGCUGUGCAGUAAACUGGUUUCCGUUCUGCUCCCAAAAUCUGUGUCUCAUUUGUGCCCCAAGACCAGGAGUGCUGUGAAGGGAAAGAGGAAGAUGAAAUGAGAAUGGGUGACCUUUGUCAGCCCAGAAAUGAAAGUAAACUUCUAACUCCAAUAGCUG